AAACUCUCUUUCCCUCUCUCCCAACCCUUGUACCAGUGCCAACUGUAGUCCUCACUGGUACAGAGGAUGGAAGGGUGGGCCUGCAGAGAUGAGACA
Molecule: microRNA precursor, 96 nt
Organism: Anolis carolinensis (green anole)
Lineage: Eukaryota; Metazoa; Chordata; Lepidosauria; Squamata; Anolidae
Gene: aca-mir-150
Product: aca-mir-150
Source: Ensembl